AGACCGUCUCAACCACUUGGUCAACAACUUCAAGCCGAUCAUCGCUGAUUUGCUCUCACUCCCGAUGCCCACAAUAGCCGCCGUUUCCGGUCACGCCGCCGCCGCCGGAUUUAUGCUCGCUAUCAGCCACGACUACGUUCUCAUGAAGAACGACAGAAGCGUGCUGUACAUGAGCGAGCUGGACAUUGGCCUGACCUUCGCCGACUACUUCAUGGCAAUGCUGAAGUCCAGGAUCAGCGAUCCGGCUGCAAGACGCGAUGUGAUGCUGAGAGCAAAAAAGGUGAAAGCGGAGGAGGCGGUGAGGAUGGGGAUUGUGGAUUCGGCGCACGACAGCGCGGAGAGCACGGUGGAGGCUGCGGUGCGCCUGGCGGAGCAGUUGAGCGGUCGUAAAUGGAACGGCGAGGUGUAUGCUGAGAUCAGGAAAGCGAUGCAUCCCGAAGUAUGCGGACUGCUGGGAUUGUCUCAUAGGGCCGUUGUGGCGCCACGGCUUUGAGAAAUCAAAGUCAUUUCCUUGCUUUGUUAUUAAACCAUAAAUAUUAUCAAAAACUGUCUUAAAUUGUUCAGCACCGCCUCGGUUUGAUGAUCAUUCGCUGCGAAGGUCGUGAACAUCUGUGGCAUCUGUCUGAUCUUAUAUCCGUAUAAAUUAAGUGUACUCCUGUACUGCUGCACCCCCAAUUCUGCCAUUGUUGAGUCCCAAUAGAUGGUUUGCUUAAUUCCAAUUGAAGAAGAAAUAAUCGUCAAAUUUAUAUAUUUAAAUUCUCCUAAAAAAUAACCUAUUCCUAUUUUUCAUAUAAAUCUAUGAUUUUGAUUAUUUACUUUUAGAUUAAUAAGAAAAUUUAUUUAUAAGAAAACCUGAGAACAAUUAUUAUUAUUGUUAAAAGGUUAUAUUCCCAAUGACAGGUUUGCGUGAUAAUAGAUCAGUGGCUUCUCUAUUCUCAUCGCUUCUUCAAGGAUGAAACCAAGAAGAGCAACAACAUUGAGAAAUGUUCAAAUAGAAAUGGAAUCGGCUCCAUUGUAAUAAUGACAACUUCAACAUUCAUUAAGUGCCAAAGCCUUCAACCUACAUUCCAAGCCCUCUCAUCUUCUCAAGUUGUUUUGAUUGGGCUUUCAACUUUAGUUAUAUUUUAGGGUUUUGUUCAAUUGAAUUGUGUAAAAAUAUUUGAUUUUUUUGGAAAUUUUGGAUCUUCUUUCCUUCCUAAAUUGAGUUUUGGUUUGAUAAUCAACUUCAUCUAGUAUUGCUCCAAGUGUGAAUCUGUCUCAAACUCAUUUUUUUUUUUCCCAAUAUUUUCUUUCUGAAAGCCAUUGUAAUAUCUCAAAAUAUUUGCAGUGUUUUUUUUUUCAUAAAAGUGUAUAGGCAUGAAAAUUAUGAAAAUUGAGGAUUUUGUGGAUUGAUGUAAUAUUAUUGGUUUUGGGAAUAUCCCAUCAAAACAAAAACACAUAUAUGAGUUGAGACAUGUGGGAUAGUUUUUUCAUUUUUUAUGUAAACAGGGAUGGGUACUUAUCAACAUGCCCCAACUUGAGUUUGGGACGGGAAUGGGAUAGGGGUGCCUUGUCCCAAACCCGCCCCGUUACCAUCCCUAUUCCCAAAUGACCAGUCUUAAAGCUUUAAAAGCAAAAAGCUUUUGGAAUCCUAGAGACAUAUUAAUUGAAAAGUAUGAAAGAUUCUAAAGAAGCUUAAAAAUGCCCAUAGUCUCUACACAAGAAUGAAAAAUAAAGGGAAAAGUGUGUAGUAUUCUAAGGAGUUCCAAAGAACUCUUUAGCAUCUAUUUAACACAUAUUUUGUAUAAGGGUUUCUAAAGAAUUCUAGAGAUAUAGGAAACUUUAGUGGAUUCCAAAGAGUUUUUGAAUUUGCAUAAAUAGGAAAUGAUCUCAUUUGAUCAAAACAUCAAACAGUUGAAAGGCUUUUAGCAUUAUAAAAAGUUUUUGUGCAAUAUAAAACUCCCUUUAUAAAAAGUUUUUAUGCAAUAUAAAACUCCUUUUAUAAAAAGUUUUUAUGCAAUACAAAACUCCCUUUCAAGGUUGAACCAUAAAUCAUUGAAGAACCUAUUCCGGAGUCAUCGAUAGAAUAUCCAAGGCCUAUGGAGCCAAAGCCUAUUCCUAAUCCUUAAAUAGCUAACACAAUAUUUGGCUCGGCCAAAGGAGCCAACCUUAUUAAGUUGUCACAAAUUAUGUCGGCCAUAUGUCUUGAUAGCCAUAACAGCACUCACCAAACAAGGGUGAGAGUGGCAUAUUUAGCCAACCGACCCUUUUAUAUCGCGACUCCACCAGCCUCUCCUUAUUUGUAGUUAAAUCCUUUCAAUUGGUUAUUUCGUCCAACCGAUGUGGGAUUGGUAAAUGUACUCAUAGAAUAGGCUCAACCCCCGUGACACUUGGGGAGACCAUGAUAGGCCUUUGGUUGGUGUUUCCUUUUAUAAGCACCUUCCAACAUACUAUGCUCUACGCCUCUUAUUGCUAUGCCUCGGGUCCUGGAUCAAUUGGAUCAUCGAUCUGUAUCUUCAUUCGUACAUGUGUAUGGAUCUUCAUCUUCAACCUCGGGAUCCCCUAUGAGAUCUUCUUCCAGAGAAGCUCCUGCAUAUGCUGCCCCUAUCUAUUCAUGGUUCUAGAUCCAGAUAUGGUAUUGGAAUGGGCUAUGCUUCCACUUAUGUUACUGGUUUUCAAACCCAAGCAUCUUCAUUUCAGUCUGUAAAUUGAAAAGGAAUAGGUCGGUCACGGACUUGGAUUAGGAAUAGGCUUUGGCUCCAUAGGCCCUGGAUAUUCUAUCGGUGACUCCGGAAUAGGUUCUUCAAUGAUUUAUGGUUCAACCCAGGCAGACAACGUCGAUUUAAAUCCAGAGGCUAUGGUUCAACCCGGUCACAGAACUGUAUAUAUCAAAGGACGGGGCGACAAAAAGGACUUGUUUGGUUGAAUCAUUCAAGCCAAACUGACCACUAAAUCCUUCCUAUGGUUCUGUUAACAAGAAGGCUCUGGUUGUCGAUGUCUAUUUUCAUAUACCGGAUUAGGGUUAUGCUACUAGGCAAACUAUCAAAUAACGAGAAAUGGGAACCGAUGGUCCCUGUACCGCUAUGUUUGUUUAUUGAGUGACACCUAGUGACCCUGUCCGGACUUAAUUAAUCUCGAACUCUCAAAUAGAAAUAGACUUUUCAGGACAAUUAAAGGAAACAUUAAAAGCACAUUGGCGCGAAGUCUAUGCUAUAGGCGGCUUUGCUCUUUCUCUUUCUGCUUCCGCUUCUUACUACUUAGAUACUUUCAGCAGGGGGGGCAGCUGGUGGCAACAUGGAAUGCAUGGUCAGCUAGCUCUUCAGGUAGGACCACUCUGGUUGAUAGCUCAGGUUCUGGUUUUGGAGCUCGAGCCGGAGACAUUAAAUGCUGGAAAACUGAUCUAUUCAAUCCGCCUUGAUAGAACAGUACAUUUUCCACUUUUACAAAGCUUCGCAUCAAUUUUAGAGAGCAUGUUCAACUAAGAAAUAACAUAGUAUACAAUUAGAGUAGGAAACAUAAAUUCUUUCCCCUUUUUUUUUCUCAAAAAUACCAAGUACCAUCUAGAAAAUUUACGGGUCAAAUCAAAUGCAAUAUUGUUUCAGUGGGAAGUACGGCUCUUCUUAUAUACAUAAUUUCAUGGAAGUAUUAAGAGAUAAAUUCUCGCGUGUAAUGUUAAUAUGAACCUUCACAAAUAUUAUUGUAGACCCUUCAUUUUGUCCCUUUAGCACAUGUUUUUAAGUUCACUUCCAAUGCUCCAUGGUAGUUCCUUGGUGGCCCAUUACUACUCAUGUAACUUAUCUUUUUUUAAGUUACCUCAAAGACUCUAGUUGAGGGAUUUAUCUAACCCCUUAUUGUGACCCUUACCAGUCUUAAGUUAGGCCUAGGAUUUUUUUUUUGAUAGCUCAUUUAGAUACACUUUUAGGAUAGUAUAUCUAGGCACACAAGGCCAAUUUAGAUGCACUUGGCCCACCUAGGCUCACCUGGACCCAUUUUGCAACAACUUGGCCCACUUAGGUUUACCUAGUCUUGCUUAGGUCACUUUUUUGGCACAUUUUGCAUGUCUCGUGUGGCUUGCAUGACUAGCAUGACUCGUUUUUGUAAAAUCACAGGACUUGACUUUUUAUUAUUAUAUUUUUGUUUAUUUUAUUUAUUAUCUUGUCUAUUUCCUUAUUUAUUUUAUUUUUCUAUUAUUUUGUCACUUUUCCAUAAUACUUGUCAUUACUUAUUUAUUUUAAUUUAGUAAUUUUGUUUAAAUAUUUAUUAUAUCAUCAUCAUUAUUAUUAUUAUUAUUAUUAUUAUUAUUAUUAUAUUUAAUCUAUUAACUUUGAAGUUUUGUAGGGAAGGUAUGGAAGGUGUGCACGGUCACAUGGAGAUUGAUAUUUGGAAGGUGGGAUUUCCUUGGAUGCAUGGUCAUUGGAGAUGGGAUGGAUACCAUAUUGAGAUUGAAAGGUAGGUGAGGACGUUUUGUGAGAGUUUAAGGGAUAGACACAAUUUAAAAAAAAAAAAAGUAAAAAAAGGAAAUAUGAAUAUUGAGGGGAUUCUCAAGGAGAGGAAGACACGAUUUGAGGUGGAUUUAUGAAGACUCACGGCUUUGAGAGGACUCUUCAGGAAAAAUCCAUGGUUGCAUGUGGUUUUUUUAUAUAUAUAGAUAGGAGGAUUUGCACGUGGGCUGCCAUGUUGAUAAGAAUGGAGCACACGCGCUCCCUUUAAAGGGGAGAACCACGAUUGGGAAAAUGCAACAGACUGUCACUUUGGAGACAACCACAAAUCGCACAAACCUAUCUUAAAGGAGGAACAACCUGCAUAAAUAAAAAAAGCUGCCACUUUGAAGACUCCACAAGGCAACAUGCACAAUUGAAAAUGAGCACAACGCAACCGCACCAUGGGAUUUUUUUUCUCCAUCAUGCAUGGGAUCGGUGGUCACUUUGAGAGCAUAAAGGCAUAUAGAGCCGCACCACUUUGGAUUUUCUCUAAGGAACACGCACAAUCCACAUAAAAGAACAAUCGCACCACUCUCAUCAACACAACUGUAUAUAUAUUUAUGGAAUAUUAGAUUUUUAGGGAGUGGGAAGACUCCACACAUCUCUAGCAGCACGCCACUUUGGAGAAGAAAACAGCUUGUACCUUUGGACUUCGAAACAAUCCCCAUGCAUUGAUCUGAAAGGUAAGUUCACAUUCUUAAACUCGUUUUAUUUUAGUUUCGAUUUAGAUUUUUUUUUUAUUUCUUGUUAUUUCAAUCCAUUGGUAAAAUUGCAUUUGUGCUAAAAUUUUUAUUUUUUAAACCUAUUUUCAUUCAUUUUAAUUAGUUUGGAUUUUAGUUUUGAUAAGUACGGAUGUAUUCGCUGUAUUAGCUCUGAUGAUUGGAUUUUAGUUUCAAUAAGUAGGACGUAGUUUGCUGUAUUGGUUUUGAUGAAUAAUGGACUUUAGUUUUUGAAUGAUUGUUGAUGCUAAUUUAGAUUUUAGUUUUUGAUAAAUAAUGAGGUUAGUUUGAGUUUGAGUUUUAAAAUUUCAUUGAAUAUUAGUUUCUUUAAGUUUACAUGUUUGGUGCCUUUUAAAAACUUAUUGAGCAUCCAUUUGUUUAAAUUCACAUGCUAGAUGACUCUUAAAAAAUUAUUGAGUUUCAGUUUGAUUAUAUUCACAUGGCAGAUACCUCUUAAAAAAUUCAUUGAGCAUUAUAUGGGAUGUUAUAUGUGACUGAAUUGUUAUUUUUUUUUAUCUUUGUUACUUAUUUUAUAGGCACCUUAGGGAAUUCUUAAGUCUGAACUUUCUUUUAGAAAAUGUUUUUUUUUUUUUGUUAAAUUGAUAUUUUGAGUUGAGUCAAACUUUCUUUUUUCAAAAAUGAAUUUUUCCAUCAUAAGUUUGGAUUCUUGAUCCCAAAUGAAAGGUAGUAAAAAAUGGGAACCCAUUUAGCUUUUCUCUUAUUUUCAAAACCCUUUUAAGUUAGAAAAAAAAAAAUCUCUAUGUUGUGUCUAUUGAUUGGGAUUUAACAAAUCAUUGAGUCCUUUUUUUUUCUUUUUGUUUUUUACUUCCCUUAAAGUCAUUUUCAAAAGCAUUCAAAUCGCCAAUAAAAGGUUUUAGAAAAACAUUCAUUCUAGCUUUAGGCAAAGAACACAGUUUCUAUUAAAAUUAUGCAACUCAUUUCAUUUAAGUUGCAUGUCUCUUUUGUUGGUUUUUCAAAAAUUUGGUUUUUAUUCACAUAGGUUUGGACUUGUGCUCCCAAACUAAUGGGGAUACACAGGUAAAACUUACGGAAAUUGAAUAGGGACUUGAUGCAACCCUUACAUAAGAAAUUUUUUCAAAACUCUUCCUUGUUGUCAGUUUUCACUCAACCACUGACCAUUUAGAUUUAAAAUUCGUUUCAGCAACUUUAGAAUAUUUUAAAAAAAUUUCCAAAACUUGUACGAUUUUCCUCACUUCUUGAACUUGAAUUUAAAAUUUUGUUUGAGUUAAAAAGCAAUUCUGGGAUAGAAGAUAUAAAUGAGUGUUUAGGAGGGCUUUGUUUUCACCCAGUUUUGGACACCAAAAUCUUUUUUCCCAAAAUAAAAUAAUAGAUGACUUUUUAUUUUGGGAGAAUUAUGUUUUGGGGGUAGAUGGGCUCCCAAAUUAACAAAAGGUCCAUGUAACUCUUCAAAUUGAGUCCAAGACCCAAUGAAAGUAUGGAAAUUGAGUUGAAGGAUAUCAUCCUUUAGUAUUUCCAAAAAUGCCCUUUGUUGAUUUUGAGAAAAAAAUUAAUAUUUUUGAAAAAUACUCUUAUUUAAUUUAAUAUUUUUUAUUUAAUUUAAUAUUUUUAAAAAAUGUUUUUAUAUAAUUUAAUAUUUUUUAAAAUACUUUUAUUUAAUUUAAUAUUUUUUUAAAAUAAAUUUAUUUAAUUUAAUAUUUUUUUAAAUAAAUUUAUUUAAUUUAAUAUUUUUUAAAAAUAAAUUUAUUUAAUUUAAUAUUUUAAAAAAUACUUUAAUUUAAUUUAAUAUUUUUGAAAAAAAAUUAAUUUAAUAUUUUUGAAAAAAAAAUUAAUUUAAUAUUUUUGAAAAAAAAUUAUUUAAUUUAAUAUUUUUGAAAACUACUUUUAUUUAAUUUAGUAUUUUUGAAAGAAAAAAAUUAUUGAAAAAAAAUUAUUUAACUUAAUUUUAUAAAAUAUUUUGUAUGUGUUCUUAAAGGGUAUAUUUGUCCAUUACUAUUUCAUAUCCUUCAACUCAAUUUAAAAAGUUAUAUGGAUCUUUUGUUAAUUUGGGGACCCAUCUACCCCCAAAACAUAAUUCUCCCUUUUAUUUUUGAUUUGACAUUUUUCCUUAAUUUUAAACUUCUUGAAAUUUAUAUUAGACAUAUAAAAUAUUUAAAAAUAUGCAUUUUUGAGGGAGAUUUGAUUUUUCAAAGUUGUAUUUACUGUACAUGACAGAAUCUUAACAACUUAUUAGUUAUAGUGUUUUAAAAAUAUUUGUGUGUAUUAUCUGAGCCUGGAUUCAUUUUUUAUGUGAUAUAGACACUUAGAACAAUGUGUGUGACUUUUUGUAUGAUUUUAUGUGAUCUCUUAUUAUUUUUAAAAAAUUUGUUUAUGCAUACCACUUUUUUUACCUAACCUAGACUUUAUAGAACUUUUGGGAUGUCUUUGCUGCAAUCUAUCAUUUGAAUGAGUGUUUGACUUUUGAUAUGUUGUUCUAGAUGUAUAGAUGUUGUUUCCUGAAAAUUUUCAUAAUUAAAUUCCACUCCAAGACAUUUUUUUAGAAAUUAUUUUGUGGUGCUCCCUUUUCUAAUUGCAUGCUGAUGAUCUUGUACUUUGCUUGAAUUUGCUAUUUAUUUUUUGGAGUCAUUCAACUUACCUUGGCUCAAUUUUGGCUUUGGUACUAUAUAUUAGACAUAAUAAAAAUAUUAUAUAAUAUAUACUUGUCCUAACCACUCUAGCGUUUUUGAAGGAAUCUUAUAAAUUGUGCAUGCUAUCCAAGUAUGCUCUCUAUCACUUACUUUUUGGAAUUCUAUGAACAUGCAUGUUGUUGUGAACCUUAUUUAUGUUUGAUCCAUCCUUGGGUGCCUAGAUGUCUGUUCAAUUUACUCUAAUUAAAUACAUGUCGUGUGCUAUAUUUUUGUGCUAACUUUAAUGUCUUAUGAUAGCGCUUGAGAGACAGUUUAGGUACACAUCCAAACCUUCCUUUGCGAUUGUGAUGUGAUUUUUUUUUAGCAUACUAGUUUUGAAAUCACCUUAACCUAUUUAGGUACCUUUGAUCAAUUGAUUAAUUGUCACUUUUCCCUCAACUUAGUCAUUAGAGACCUCUUUAGGGCUUAAAGAAGUGCUACCUCUUAGAGGUGCCUUUCCAAUAAGUAAUAUGAUCCCAAACCAAGUUGCUUUUCCUAAACUAUAAAGUCACGUCUUUAGGGUUUUUUUUUUUUCUUAUUUUGCUUUCCUUUUUAUAAUAAAAUAAAAUAAGUGGCGACUCCAACUUUUUCAAAACUAUUUUUUCAUCAAUAAAAAUAAGUCCUGCCAUUGAGUGAGGACACACGUGAAAAAUGCGGGUCCACAAUCAUAUUUAAAGUAUGUUUGACAGUGAUUCUAGAAAACGUUUAUAGCAUUUUUAAUACUUAAAUGAUAAAAAAUUUCAAGUAUUAGAAAAGUUAAAAAUGUUUUCUAAAAUUAUUACCAAACAAACCCUUAACUGCACAUAAAAAGAACCAAUAUGUCAUAUAUCUCUUAAUUUAUUUUUCUAUAUUUUAUUCCGAUUAAAUUUUAAAUAAAAGAAUGAUAUUUUUAGUUUUAAAGUUUCUCCAAUAAAAUUAGUUUAGAAAUUAAAACCAAACAAAUUAUUUAAUAAAUUCAAAAAAGAAAUUGAUAAUAAAUUCAUUUUUUAUAAACUCAAAUUUCACAUAACUACGAGAAUUGUGUUUUGCGCCAUUGGCUCAAAAAUUGAUUAAAGAUUCAUAUAUAAUGUAUAUUUAAAUCUAAAAUUUAAAUAAAAUAUAAAAAUUAAAUUAAAGGAUUUUAUCCAUCAUUAAUUAUUAAAUACCCCUGGACACGGGCGUAAAUUUCAAUUUUUUCUUCCGUUGACCUCCGGGGGAACUCUUAUUUGAGAUUGCGAUAAGGAGGGGAAACAUUGCGAAUCCCAAGAGGUACUACGCUGACCACGACCACCAUGUGCACCUUAGAGCAGCGGGGCAAUCUCUUCUUCCUAACCCUAACCGGCGACAAUGAACACCGAUUAGGCCCCUCGCUCUUCGACUCCAUCAGAUCCGCUCUUGCUCAGGUUAAAUCCCAAGCCACUCCUGGCUCUGCUCUCAUCACCACCGCCCAGGGAAAAUUCUUCUCCAACGGCUUGGACCUCGCCUGGGCCCAAGCCGCCGGAUCCUCCAGUUUCCGAGACCGUCUCAGCCACUUGCUCGACUGCUUCAAGCCGAUCGUCGCUGAUUUACUCUCACUCCCGAUGCCCACAAUAGCCGCCGUCUCCGGUCACGCCGCCGCCGCCGGAUUUAUGCUCGCUAUCAGCCACGACUACGUUCUCAUGAAGAACGACAGAAGCGUGCUGUAUAUGAGCGAGCUGGACAUUGGCCUGACCUUCCCCGACUACUUCAUGGCGAUGAUGAAGUCCAAGAUCAGCGAUCCGGCUGCAAGACGCGAUGUGAUGUUGAGAGCAAAAAAGGUGAAAGCGGAGGAGGCAGUGAGGAUGGGGAUUGUGGAUUCGGCGCACGAUAGCGCGGAGAGCACGGUGGAGGCUGCGGUGCGCCUGGCGGAGCAGUUGAGCGGUCGUAAAUGGAACGGCGAGGUGUAUGCUGAGAUCAGAAAAGCGAUGCAUCCCGAAGUAUGCGGACUGCUGGGAUUGUCUCAUAGGGCCGUUGUGGCGCCACGGCUUUGAGAAAUCAAAGUCAUUUCCUUGCUUUGUUAUUAAACCAUAAAUAUUAUCAAAAACUGUCUUAAAUCGUUCAGCACCGCCUCGGUUUGAUGAUCAUUCGCUGCGAAGGUCGUGAACAUCUGUGGCAUCUGUCCGAUCUUAUAUCCGUAUAAAUUAAGUGUACUCCUGUACUGCUGCACCCCCAAUUCUGCCAUUGUUGAGUCCCAAUAGAUGGUUUGCUUAAUUCCAAUUGAAGAAGAAAUAAUCGUCAAAUUUAUAUAUUUAAAUUCUCCUAAAAAAUAACCUAUUCCUAUUUUUCAUAUAAAUCUAUGAUUUUGAUUAUUUACUUAUAGAUUAAUAAGAAAAUUUAUUUACAAGAAAACCUGAGAACAA
This 10181-nucleotide long non-coding RNA is filed under the name Vitis vinifera (wine grape). RNAcentral describes it as "long non-coding RNA (VVIN_LNC001390)". Lineage: Eukaryota; Viridiplantae; Streptophyta; Magnoliopsida; Vitales; Vitaceae. The record is from RNAcentral.